This 983-nucleotide long non-coding RNA is filed under the name Mus musculus (house mouse). Its description in RNAcentral is "long non-coding RNA chr1:156364848-156365831". Lineage: Eukaryota; Metazoa; Chordata; Mammalia; Rodentia; Muridae. The record is from RNAcentral.
ACACCUACUCCAAGGCCACACCUCCAAAUAGUGGCAAUCCCUGGGCCAAGCAUAUUCAAACCACCACAGAGAGGCACUUACAAGAUGAUUUCUUUUAAUGCUACUGUAUUUUGAUAGUGGGUCUACAUUUGAUAGUGAUUAUUUUUGCAGACAGUAUUUCUUUCAUGUGAACUGUUUAUAAGGGAGAAAUGCAGAGAGAUGGAAAGCAUAUUAGUGGUUGAUCAGUGGUUGAUAGGUGGGGGAAGGGAUGUAGCCUCAAUAGGUUGUAUGAUUUGUCUAUGUUUGUUUGUUUUUCCUCUCAAGGUUUUGGAAGCUUAGCUUUUUGCAUGGCCAUGAAACUUUUAAGGGAUAGGCUUACUAGAAAGUGAAUGGGGUCCUUUCAGGAGAUUGUGGGUAGUUCCUAUAAGAAAGAGUUGCUGGAAAAGAAGGAGCUAGAUCCCUCUGACUUGCCAGGGGAUACCCUCCCUUGCACAUGCAUCCCUGCCAUGAUGUCAUUUGUUAUGAACCCUCAAAAGAGUCAGUGCCAUGCUGUUGAAGACUUUCAGCUUCCAAACUGUAAAUAAAAAUAAAACAGACCAGCCACUGGUAAUUCGUGAGAGUUAACAGAAGGCUUUUCACUGUAACAUACAAAGCUUCUUCUUGUGAAGAAUGAAAAAAUGUUUUAAAGUUAACUACAGCUGCCCGCAUUCAACAAUACACCGAUUGCUGAUUUAUCAUAUUAGGGCUUCAGAGACAUCCACCCCAAGGAGAAAGGCCUGGGAACUUACGCGCCAGGUUCCAUGUCCAUGCCCUCUGGAACCGAAUCAAUAAUGUUCAACAGCGCUUCCAGAUGAAACUUCAUUUCAUUAAUCUUUUCAUCAAUUUCAAGCCACUCUUCAGUGGGUACUUGAGAAUAAUCAAGGAAGUUUUCUAACUUGAAAACACACAUGUCCAAAGAAAUGACCAAGUUUGGAAGAACUUUAGAGAUACCUAGGAAAAUGGGG